AUGUAACAUGCGUGACAAUAAUCAGUGAAUAUUUAGGUAUAACAUAUGUAUACAAUAUGGCAGUGGUUUAACACCAUUUACAGACAGCUAAAUAGCAACAGUUAUAUCGACAGGUAUGCAGUUUUCAACAAGAUUUACGACCGGACACUUCACUUUGAAAUCAGCUUGCUAAACAGUCCUUAACACAGAACACAGCAUCUCACAGUAGCACAGGGUAAAGCAAUAAAAACUUUGGCUGACAGUCAAAUCAAACUGAAUUAACUCAUUCACUGCUGGCUACAAUUCUCAUAGGAAAGAUAUCCUUUUAUAUUGCAAUUUUACAAAUACAAUAUUUCUCAUACUAGAUCAUUUGACCAUUCUUAUGUCCAUCCAAUAAGAAUAACUCUAACCAGAUUUAACGUUUGCAGAAUUUUAACUUCCCUAGUUGAAGAUGACUAUCCCUAAUCCAGAUAAAUCAAUAUCUCUGGGUAAAGUUCAGUAUUCUAAAUUUUGGCAAAUAACCAGCACAUAUAUUGUUUCAUUAUUUCACCUGUAGGAAUGAAAUUUUUAUAACCAUAUAUUCCUUAGCUAAUUAUGAUUUCUAAUAAUUGUAAUCUGACAAACCUUUAUCUAGAUAUAUAUUCCUAC
Molecule: non-coding RNA, 627 nt
Organism: Pelobates cultripes (western spadefoot toad)
Lineage: Eukaryota; Metazoa; Chordata; Amphibia; Anura; Pelobatidae
Source: the annotation of a GenBank genome assembly